AACGAACGCUGGCGGCAUGCCUAACACAUGCAAGUCGAACGAGACCUUCGGGUCUAGUGGCGCACGGGUGCGUAACGCGUGGGAACCUGCCUUUAGGUUCGGAAUAACUCAGAGAAAUUUGAGCUAAUACCGGAUAAUGUCUUCGGACCAAAGAUUUAUCGCCUUUAGAUGGGCCCGCGUUGGAUUAGCUAGUUGGUGGGGUAAAGGCCUACCAAGGCGACGAUCCAUAGCUGGUCUGAGAGGAUGAUCAGCCACACUGGGACUGAGACACGGCCCAGACUCCUACGGGAGGCAGCAGUGGGGAAUAUUGGACAAUGGGCGAAAGCCUGAUCCAGCAAUGCCGCGUGUGUGAAGAAGGUCUUCGGGUUGUAAAGCACUUUCAGCGAGGAGGAAGGGUUGUGUGUUAAUAGCACAUAGCCUUGACGUUACUCGCAGAAGAAGCACCGGCUAACUCUGUGCCAGCAGCCGCGGUAAAG
This 476-nucleotide ribosomal RNA is filed under the name uncultured bacterium. RNAcentral describes it as "bacterial SSU rRNA". It matches the Rfam family "Bacterial small subunit ribosomal RNA", at positions 29 to 525 of the family's 1533-position model. The record is from RNAcentral.